GGCCGCGAUUCGCCCUUGGGGUGCCCAGGCGCGAAAACUUUGCAAUACACGAAAGUGUGACAGGGCUAUCCCGAGUGCCAUCCGCUGAGGAAGGCUUUUACCCAGUCUAGAGCGCUGGGGGAAUAAGGAGAGGGCAAGUCUGGUGUCAGCCGCCGCGGUAAUACCAGCUCUCCGAGUGGUGUGGAUGUUUAUUGGGCCUAGAGCAUCCGUAGCUGGCUAAGUUAGUCCCUUGUUAAAUCCACCGAAUUAAUCGUUGGAUUGCGGGGGAUACUGCUUGGCUAGGGGACGAGAGAGGCAGACGGUAUUUCCGGGGUAGGGGUGAAAUCCUAUAAUCCCGGGAAGACCACCAGUGGCGAAGGCUGUCUGCUAGAACGCGCCCGACGGUGAGGGAUGAAAGCUGGGGGAGCGAACCGGAUUAGAUACCCGGGUAGUCCCAGCUGUAAACGAUGCAGGCUAGGUGUUUGGACGGCCACGUGCCGUUCUAGUGCCGCAGGGAAGCUGUUAAGCCUGCCGCCUGGGGAGUACGAUCGCAAGAUUGAAACUUAAAGGAAUUGGCGGGGGAGCA
This 565-nucleotide ribosomal RNA is filed under the name uncultured archaeon. RNAcentral describes it as "bacterial SSU rRNA". It matches the Rfam family "Archaeal small subunit ribosomal RNA", at positions 296 to 878 of the family's 1478-position model. The record is from RNAcentral.